Hippoglossus stenolepis (Pacific halibut) is the source of this 2242-nucleotide RNA transcript. It is a transcript of the gene named potassium voltage-gated channel, subfamily G, member 4b, with no coding region annotated. The record is from RefSeq and is a predicted model, not a curated record. Lineage: Eukaryota; Metazoa; Chordata; Actinopteri; Pleuronectiformes; Pleuronectidae. The transcript is spliced from 4 exons.
GGAGGAGCAUGACGAGGAGGAGGAGGAGUGUGAGGAGGAGGAGGAGCAUGACGAGGAGGAGGAGGGUCCUGCUGUCACACAGAUGAAAACACACAUCGUUCUUCAUCGUUGAUCUGCAGCUCGGAGGCUUCACAGCGGACAUGAGGAGGAGAGACGAGCUUCUUCAUCACAGGAACAUGAAGAGGAGGAACAACGGAGAGAAGAGGAGGAGAACACAGUGAGUUGAUCGGCCUCUCUGAAGCUCCUCCCUCAAAACCUCCUCUCUGCUCAACGCACAAAUAUUUUCCCACGUGGUCACACGUCCUGCAACCAGCAUGCCAAUCAUCAGCAACACCAACCACGACUUCAGCACCUACUCCAUCAGCAGCGACGACAGCAGCCUCGACCGCUUCUUCACUGAGAUCCCGGAGACCGAGACCAUCAAGGGCGCUUACUUUCAGCGAGCGCAGCUGCUUCGUGAGCCCAAGGCCUCGUUAGUGGUCGACCACACUCUGCAGGUCCUCAUCAAUGUCGGGGGCAACCGCUACACCUUCCCCUGGAGCACCUUGGAGCAGUUUCCCCAGAGUCGCCUGGGACGCCUUCGCUUCUGCACCACCCCUGAGGAGAUUGCACGACUCUGCGACGACUACGACGAGACGUGCCGGGAGUAUUUCUUUGACCGGAACCCAACAGCCUUCAGGGUCAUCCUCAACUUCCUGGCAGCAGGCAAACUUCGUCUACUUCGGGAACUGUGUGCCGUGUCCCUGCACGACGAGCUCGCCUACUGGGGCGUGGACCCGGGUCAUAUGGAGCGAUGCUGCCGCCGCCGCAUGAUCACCCGGGUAGAAGACGUGGCGGAGAGAGAGCGUAAGGAAGAGGAGUGGAGGCAGAAGAGGAUGACGCUGAAGAAAAGCACCACAGAGGCUGAGAAAGACCACGGCAGACUGAUCGGGAUCCUGAGGGAGGUGGUGGAGAACCCUCACUCAGGACUGGCUGGGAAGAUGUUCGCCUGCCUCUCCGUCAUCAUGGUGCUGGUCACCGUCAUCAGCCUCUGCAUCAGCACCAUGCCGGACCUCAGAGACGAGGAGACCAGGGGCGAGUGUUCUCAGAAGUGUCGCAGCAUGUUCGUGGUGGAGUCCAUCUGCGUCGCCUGGUUCACGCUGGAGUUCAUUCUGCGAUUUGUCAACGCCCAGAGCAAGCUGGCCUUCGCUCGCGGCCCCCUCAACAUCAUCGAUGUCAUCGCCAUCCUCCCGUACUACGUGUCGCUGGUCAUCGAUGUCAGAGAUGAGUCACAGGAGGAGGUCAUCAUGGGCGCCGGCAGAGGCUACCUGGACAAACUGAGCCUGAUCCUGCGGCUGCUGCGGGCUCUGAGGAUCCUGUACGUGAUGCGGCUGGCUCGCCACUCGCUGGGCCUGCAGACGUUGGGGCUGACCAUGCAGCGCAGCAUGAGGGAGUUCGGCCUGCUGCUGCUGUUCGUCUGCGUGGCCGUGACUCUCUUCUCACCUCUGGUCCAUCUGGCGGAGAGCGAGCUAGCGCCGUUUGCCGCCACGCACCCUCAACACAGCUUCAGCAGCAUCCCGGCGUCUUACUGGUGGGCCAUUAUCUCCAUGACUACGGUGGGCUACGGUGACAUGGUGCCGCGCAGCAUCCCCGGACAGAUAGUGGCACUGACCAGCAUCCUGAGUGGCAUCCUCAUCAUGGCGUUUCCCGCCACCUCCAUCUUCCACACUUUCUCCCGCUCCUAUCAGGAGCUGAAACAGGAGUAUGAGCGGCUGUGGAAGGAGGAGAGAGGCGAGGAGAUCGCUGCCGAGUCAGAGAACAGUUGGUCCAAGGUUGAUCUGUCACCUGACGAGGUCACGUCUUUCUCCAAGGACGAUAAUGACGGACCGAUGUCCAGCGAGAGUCGUCAGUCCACACUUCCUUCAACAGCUUUUUAACUGAGCGACUUUAUUCAGUUAUAUGUACAAAAUGUAUCACUCGACUCCAGUGGCCUGUUUAUUUUCAACAGGGACACAAUUUAACUUGUCUCGUCAUGUUCUGGUUUCAUUUGUUACGUUAAAGGUUCAGUGUGUAGGAUGUGGUGGCAUCUAGUGGUGAGGUAACAGAUUGCUACUAGGAGAAAACGAUGGUCGUCAGGUAACAUCACCUGUUUUCACACAUACAAUGUUGUGUAGUUAGUGUUUGUGAAGCAGCAGCAGCAGGUUGUCGGGUCCGACUCGUUCAAACAGGAACAUGUGGGAACAUCCAGGCGAGGGGCGGAGCC